CCCGCGACCCCCUGCCCCGCGCCGCGACCCCACGCCCCGCGACCGCCCAGCCCCGCCCCGCACCUUAAGUUGGACCAGGCGAAGUUUAGGGCGAGCUGGAAGCUGGGGUCUGUCUCGUCCUUGAGGCCAGCGACACUCCAGACGAGCUCUGGCAAGUCGCGCUCCUGCUGCAGGUCCAGCCGGCUCCAAGGCUGCCCAUGCCGCGCCAUGCUCCGCGCUCCUGCAGCGCGCGUCUGGCGCUGUUUGCGCGAGAGGUCGGGCUCCUGCGACAGUGGCUUUCUGAGCUGGCGGUUUUCUCGCCAUACUUCGACCUCUCCUGCCAGGCAACUGGCGAACUGGCAGUUAUUCUCACGACAGUUCAACCUCCCGCUUGGCGGGGGCUGGAGCGUGCAUUUUCUGGUCGGUACUUGGAGAGACGAUAAAGGGAGAAGAAAAUGUCAGAGAAAAGAUCAGUGUCACUGGGCAAGCCAUGGCCUGAAUCCUGGCUCUGACAGACCACUUCUAGCCUCUAAGUGGUACUGAGGCUAAAAGUGCUGUGCUCCUCAGGCCUCCCUGUUGACCCCAGUGAGUACUUCACACUGAAGCAGAAAGAUACCUGCCCAAAACACUUCACUUUCCCUCCAGUGACUGGGAGGCCUGGGGAGCAGGCCCUAGGUCCUGCCACAGUUCCAUGUAAGGCCCUGGCUUUGCAAACACUUACCCCAGUGCUCCUAUGUACACUCUGUGAAGGCAGACUGGGAGUCAGGGGCAGGGGAAAUGGACACAGCCAUGGUCUUGCAAGGCCCCUGGUCAUCAGUGUGCCCCUCACAAAUGCUUCCAAGUCCUCCUCAAAAGGAAGGGACUGUUAUUCACUGUUUGCACAACUGCUAUAAAUACGAUAUUACCCAGAGAAUGGGUAAUAUAUAAAGAAAAGAGGUUUAAUUGGCUCACGGUUAUGUGGACUGUACAGGCAUCUGCUUCUGAGGUGGCCUCAGGAACCUUACAAUCAUGGUGGAAAGGCAAAGGGGAAGCAAGCUGUCUUACGUGGUGAGAGCAAGAGGAAGAGAGAGAGGAGGAAGUGAUGCAUAUUUAAACAAGCAGAUCUUGGGAUAACUCUAUCACAAGACAGCACU
This 1112-nucleotide long non-coding RNA is filed under the name Aotus nancymaae (Ma's night monkey). RNAcentral's name for it is "lncRNA (ENSANAG00000039138.1)". Lineage: Eukaryota; Metazoa; Chordata; Mammalia; Primates; Aotidae. The record is from RNAcentral.